This 484-nucleotide ribosomal RNA is filed under the name uncultured bacterium. Its description in RNAcentral is "partial 16S ribosomal RNA". The stretch from base 20 to 328 matches the Rfam family "Bacterial small subunit ribosomal RNA", at positions 47 to 358 of the family's 1533-position model. The record is from RNAcentral.
AUUGAACGCUGGCGGCAGGCCUAACACAUGCAAGUCGAGCGGAUGAAGGGAGCUUGCUCCUGGAUUCAGCGGCGGACGGGUGAGUAAUGCCUAGGAAUCUGCCUGGUAGUGGGGGAUAACGUCCGGAAACGGGCGCUAAUACCGCAUACGUCCUGAGGGAGAAAGUGGGGGAUCUUCGGACCUCACGCUAUCAGAUGAGCCUAGGUCGGAUUAGCUAGUUGGUGGGGUAAAGGCCUACCAAGGCGACGAUCCGUAACUGGUCUGAGAGGAUGAUCAGUCAAAGGGGAAAUGAGACGGGGCCAAGACCCCAGGGGGGGGAAGAGGGGGGAAAUAGGGAAAAAGGGGGGAAGGCUUGAACAAGCCAGGCGGGGGGUGGAAAGAGGGUCUUGGAAUGAAAAGGAAGUUUAAGUGGGGGGAAAGGGAAAAAAGUAAUUACCUUCUUUUUUGAAGUUAAAAAAAAAAAAAGAAACGGAAAACCUGGGGC